Molecule: ribosomal RNA, 551 nt
Filed under: uncultured fungus
Lineage: Eukaryota; Fungi
Description: eukaryotic LSU rRNA
Rfam family: 5.8S ribosomal RNA (bases 186-339)
Source: RNAcentral
AAGUCGUAACAAGGUCUCCGUUGGUGAACCAGCGGAGGGAUCAUUACUGAGUACUACACUCUCUACCCUUUGUGAACUAUUAUACCUGUUGCUUCGGCGGCGCCCGCAAGGGUGCCCGCCGGUCUCAUCAGAAUCUCUGUUUUCGAACCCGACGAUACUUCUGAGUGUUCUUAGCGAACUGUCAAAACUUUUAACAACGGAUCUCUUGGCUCCAGCAUCGAUGAAGAACGCAGCGAAACGCGAUAUGUAAUGUGAAUUGCAGAAUUCAGUGAAUCAUCGAAUCUUCGAACGCACAUGGCGCCUUCCAGUAUCCUGGGAGGCAUGCCUGUCCGAGCGUCGUUUCAACCCUCGAGCCCCUGUGGCCCGGCGUUGGGGAUCUGCCACGGCAGGCCCCUAAAACCAGUGGCGGACCCGAAGGGCCCUCUCCUUUGCGCAGUAGCAUUCGCCUCGCAUCGGGAGUCCUCGGCGUCCUGCCUCUAAACCCCCCACAAGCCCGCUUCGGCGGCACCAAGGUUGACCUCGGAUCAGGUAGGAAUACCCGCUGAACUUAA